This 507-nucleotide ribosomal RNA is filed under the name Thalassiosira antarctica. Its description in RNAcentral is "partial Bacterial large subunit ribosomal RNA". It matches the Rfam family "Bacterial large subunit ribosomal RNA", at positions 2129 to 2635 of the family's 2925-position model. The record is from RNAcentral. Lineage: Eukaryota; Bacillariophyta; Thalassiosirophyceae; Thalassiosirales; Thalassiosiraceae.
CAUGUUUGUGUAGGAUAGCUGGGAGGCUUUGAAACCAGGACGCCAGUUCUGGUGGAGCCAACCUUGAAAUACCAGCCUGACCUGUUUGAGGUUCUAACUUCGACCCCUUAUCGGGGUUAAGGACACUGUGUGGUGGGUAGUUUGACUGGGGCGGUCUCCUCCCAAAGAGUAACGGAGGAGCACGAAGGUACACUAAGUAUGGUCGGACAUCAUACGGUUAGUGCAAUGGCAAAAGUGUGCUUGACUGCGAGACAGACACGUCGAGCAGGUACGAAAGUAGGUCAUAGUGAUCCGGUGGUUCUGUAUGGAAGGGCCAUCGCUCAACGGAUAAAAGGUACGCCGGGGAUAACAGGCUGAUACUGCCCAAGAGUCCAUAUCGACGGCAGUGUUUGGCACCUCGAUGUCGGCUCAUCUCAUCCUGGGGCUGGAGCAGGUCCCAAGGGUACGGCUGUUCGCCGUUUAAAGAGGUACGUGAGCUGGGUUUAGAACGUCGUGAGACAGUUCGGU